Molecule: ribosomal RNA, 453 nt
Filed under: uncultured bacterium
Lineage: Bacteria
Description: bacterial SSU rRNA
Rfam family: Bacterial small subunit ribosomal RNA
Source: RNAcentral
ACGAACGCUGGCGGCGUGCCUAACACAUGCAAGUCGAGCGGAUGUAGCAAUACAUCAGCGGCAAACGGGUGAGUAACACGUAAGCAACCUACCUCCAAGACUGGGAUAACCCGCCGAAAGGCGGGCUAAUACCAGAUGUGUCAAGCGAAACGCAUGUUUUGCUUGAUAAAUCCCGCAAGGGGCUUGAAGACGGGCUUGCGUCCUAUCAGCUAGUUGGCGGGGUAACGGCCCACCAAGGCUAUGACGGGUAGCUGGUCUGAGAGGACGACCAGUCACAAGGGAACUGAGACACGGUCCCUACUCCUACGGGAGGCAGCAGUGAGGAAUUUUCCGCAAUGGGCGAAAGCCUGACGGAGCGACGCCGCGUGUGGGAUGAAGUUUUUCGGAAUGUAAACCACUGUCAGCGGGGACGAUAUUGACAGUACCCGCAGAGGAAGGCCCGGCUAACUACGU